UACGGAGGGCGCGAGCGUUGUCCGGAAUCACUGGGCGUAAAGAGCGUGUAGGCGGCCCGGUAAGUCCGCUGUAAAAGUCAAAGGCUCAACCUUUGAAUGUCAGUGGAUACUGCCGGGCUAGAGUCCGGAAGAGGCGAGUGGAACUCCUGGUGUAGCGGUGGAAUGCGCAGAUAUCAGGAAGAACACCAACGGCGAAGGCAGCUCGCUGGGACGGUACUGACGCUGAGACGCGAAAGCGUGGGGAGCGAACAGG
This 253-nucleotide ribosomal RNA is filed under the name uncultured bacterium. RNAcentral describes it as "partial 16S ribosomal RNA". It matches the Rfam family "Bacterial small subunit ribosomal RNA", at positions 524 to 776 of the family's 1533-position model. The record is from RNAcentral.